UACGUAGGGUACGAGCGUUGUCCGGAAUUAUUGGGCGUAAAGGGCUCGUAGGCGGUCUGUCGCGUCGGGAGUGAAAACUCAGGGCUUAACCCUGAGCCUGCUUCCGAUACGGGCAGACUAGAGGUAUGCAGGGGAGAACGGAAUUCCUGGUGUAGCGGUGGAAUGCGCAGAUAUCAGGAGGAACACCGGUGGCGAAGGCGGUUCUCUGGGCAUUACCUGACGCUGAGGAGCGAAAGCGUGGGGAGCGAACAGG
RNAcentral lists this ribosomal RNA (253 nucleotides) under uncultured bacterium. Its description in RNAcentral is "partial 16S ribosomal RNA". It matches the Rfam family "Bacterial small subunit ribosomal RNA", at positions 524 to 776 of the family's 1533-position model. The record is from RNAcentral.